RNAcentral lists this ribosomal RNA (254 nucleotides) under uncultured bacterium. RNAcentral describes it as "partial 16S ribosomal RNA". It matches the Rfam family "Bacterial small subunit ribosomal RNA", at positions 524 to 776 of the family's 1533-position model. The record is from RNAcentral.
UACGUAGGUCCCGAGCGUUGUCCGGAUUCACUGGGCGUAAAGGGCGCGUAGGCGGCGGCUUGAGUCCCUGCGUGAAAUCUCCCGGCUCAACCGGGAGGGUGCGCGGGAUACUGGGCGGCUUGAGGACAUCAGAGGAGAGCGGAAUCCCCGGUGUAGUGGUGAAAUGCGUAGAUAUCGGGGGGAACACCAGUGGCGAAGGCGGCUCUCUGGGGUGCACCUGACGCUGAUGCGCGAAAGCGUGGGGAGCGAACCGG